Molecule: non-coding RNA, 332 nt
Organism: Pelobates cultripes (western spadefoot toad)
Lineage: Eukaryota; Metazoa; Chordata; Amphibia; Anura; Pelobatidae
Source: the annotation of a GenBank genome assembly
GCCCCAUUGACAGGACGCAACCUGUCCGUCAUGUGCGUUUUGGAGGCUUGUUUGCCCAUAUGAUGGGUCUUUUCAGUAGCCUUGCGACCGCUGAGGGGAGCAGGCUUAUCAUCUUGUGCCUUGGAGCAGGGGUCCUUGGGGUUGCGGCCAGACGCCAUGAUGGUGUUACUGAUGGAUUGGGUCAGGUUAUCUGACAUCGCCCCCAUCGCUGUGUAGAUUGCUUGUGUGACCGAUUUUGCCAUGGUUGCAUCUAGCAGAGAAUGGAACUCUUCUGAGUUCAGUUGUUCCACUGACCACACCUCCUCCCCAUGAGAGGAGAUGGGCUGCGGAAC